GGGGAAUAUUGCACAAUGGGCGAAAGCCUGAUGCAGCAACGCCGCGUGAGGGAAGACGGUUUUCGGAUUGUAAACCUCUGUUUUCGGUGACGAACAAAUGACGGUAACCGAGUAGGAAGCCACGGCUAACUACGUGCCAGCAGCCGCGGUAAUACGUAGGUGGCAAGCGUUAUCCGGAAUUACUGGGUGUAAAGGGAGCGCAGGCGGGAUAGCAAGUCAGCUGUGAAAACUAUGGGCUCAACCCAUAAACUGCAGUUGAAACUGUUAUUCUUGAGUGGAGUAGAGGCAAGCGGAAUUCCGAGUGUAGCGGUGAAAUGCGUAGAUAUUCGGAGGAACACCAGUGGCGAAGGCGGCUUGCUGGGCUCUAACUGACGCUGAGGCUCGAAAGUGUGGGGAGCAAACAGGAUUAGAUACCCUGGUAGUCCACACUGUAAACGAUGAUUGCUAGGUGUGGGGGGUCUGAC
This 464-nucleotide ribosomal RNA is filed under the name uncultured bacterium. RNAcentral describes it as "bacterial SSU rRNA". It matches the Rfam family "Bacterial small subunit ribosomal RNA", at positions 356 to 835 of the family's 1533-position model. The record is from RNAcentral.